RNAcentral lists this ribosomal RNA (553 nucleotides) under Escherichia coli. RNAcentral describes it as "partial 23S ribosomal RNA". It matches the Rfam family "Bacterial large subunit ribosomal RNA", at positions 2180 to 2732 of the family's 2925-position model. Lineage: Bacteria; Pseudomonadati; Pseudomonadota; Gammaproteobacteria; Enterobacterales; Enterobacteriaceae. The record is from RNAcentral.
AUGGAGCCGACCUUGAAAUACCACCCUUUAAUGUUUGAUGUUCUAACGUUGACCCGUAAUCCGGGUUGCGGACAGUGUCUGGUGGGUAGUUUGACUGGGGCGGUCUCCUCCUAAAGAGUAACGGAGGAGCACGAAGGUUGGCUAAUCCUGGUCGGACAUCAGGAGGUUAGUGCAAUGGCAUAAGCCAGCUUGACUGCGAGCGUGACGGCGCGAGCAGGUGCGAAAGCAGGUCAUAGUGAUCCGGUGGUUCUGAAUGGAAGGGCCAUCGCUCAACGGAUAAAAGGUACUCCGGGGAUAACAGGCUGAUACCGCCCAAGAGUUCAUAUCGACGGCGGUGUUUGGCACCUCGAUGUCGGCUCAUCACAUCCUGGGGCUGAAGUAGGUCCCAAGGGUAUGGCUGUUCGCCAUUUAAAGUGGUACGCGAGCUGGGUUUAGAACGUCGUGAGACAGUUCGGUCCCUAUCUGCCGUGGGCGCUGGAGAACUGAGGGGGGCUGCUCCUAGUACGAGAGGACCGGAGUGGACGCAUCACUGGUGUUCGGGUUGUCAUGCCAA